RNAcentral lists this ribosomal RNA (256 nucleotides) under uncultured bacterium. RNAcentral describes it as "partial 16S ribosomal RNA". It matches the Rfam family "Bacterial small subunit ribosomal RNA", at positions 524 to 776 of the family's 1533-position model. The record is from RNAcentral.
UACGUAGGGCGCGAGCGUUGUCCGGAAUUAUUGGGCGUAAAGAGCUCGUAGGCGGCCUGUUGCGUCCGCUGUGAAAUCCCGAGGCUCAACCUCGGGCCUGCAGUGGGUACGGGGCAGACUAGAGUGCGGUAGGGGAGAUUGGAAUUCCCGGUGUAGUGGUGGAAUGCGUAGAGUAUCGGGAGGAACACCAGUGGCGAAGGCGGUUGCCUGGGGCUUUGCUGACGCUGGAUGCGCGAAAGCGUGGGGAGCGAUCCGG